Molecule: long non-coding RNA, 1786 nt
Organism: Equus caballus (horse)
Lineage: Eukaryota; Metazoa; Chordata; Mammalia; Perissodactyla; Equidae
Source: Ensembl
UCAUGACCAUUUUACAGUUUCAGCUGGUUAAAACCAGUUGUGGUGAAACAAAGCAAGUACAGCUAUAAGAGGAGAAUUUUUUUCUGCUUUACAAGGUAGAAGCUUGGGGAGUAGGGGAGGUUGUGAUGGAAAUCUGCUGCUAGGGGUGGGAGCCUGAGAGCACUGGGCUCGUGGCCCCCUUCCGCAUCCAUGACUGGGGAAAGGCUGCAAGCCUUGAGCAGAAGCUGGCUUUGCAUUGGCACUUUGUCCAACGUGGCUCGGGAACUGUAGAAGCUUGACCUUGGGGAUGACCAUGGUCUGAGGCAGAACCUCUAGCUCCCUGCAGCCUGGUGUAUGUGGACAGGGAACGAUUGCGUCAGUGUCCCAAAAGGCCACAAGGGACCAGUCAUGCCCCAGCAGACUCCGGAUCAGCGCUGGGCCAGGCCAGCCACUGCAAAGAAUAGGGCCCCCCGUAUGGGCCACUGGCCCUCCUUCCCACCACUAUGAGCCAUUUUGGGGAGAGAAAACAAAUAGAAUUCUCUCUCUCUUAAAAAAAAGGAAUCACCAAAGACACUGUCUAAAAGGGAAGAGACUGAGAUAUUAUUAAUUGGCAAGUUUGUCUUUUUCCCUUACUCCUCAGUGGGGUGUGAGCUUGGAGGAAGAAUGGUUAUAGGAAAUAAACAAGCUACAUUUUCCUUAAAAAACUGAGUGGUAAUGUGAAAAUUUGCCAUCUGCUAUAUACAUAUAGUUUAAUAUUUAUACGAAAACAUUUAAACUUAAUGUUUAAUAAUUUGGAAGAGAACAAACCGUUGAACUCCACUUGUGUCUGUCACAUAUCACAUUCCAGCCUUCUGUCUAAUCCCCUUAUAUGGCUAUAAAACUGCAAACAAGCCUUGAUUCCUCAGUCACCUAUAGAGGCUCCCCUUUCAGCCUUAACUCCAGCUUCAGGCUGCUCAGGAUCAAAGCCUCUGCUGGCUUUUUUCCCCCUAGAAAUCUUCUUUCUCUUUGGUCUCUUCCUCUGAGCAACCAAGAAGAAGAGCAACAGCCUGCAUCCACGUCUUCACUCAAAUCAGAAUAUUUUCUUCCCAAGAGGAAAUAUGCAAAAUACUCUUCUGCUUGAAAAGAAUAAUAGGUUAAGAUCAAAGUUAAGUUCACUGCUAGUGUGUAGAAUAGCAACCCUGUUGGCCAGAGUUUGAAGUGGCGUUACUAUGUGGCGGAUGUACAUGAAGUCUAAAGGAACAAGGGUAGUGGUGCACUGUGACCACGAACAACACGGAGCAACGGCAUCUGAAAGGCAGACAACGACAACAGCCCACAGAUGGUGCCAGUCAUCCCGAUAACGUACACCCGUUAAUUCUGUGAGUCAGGAUCCAGCCGCACUUGCUUUGUGCAACAGGAGGAGAGGCAGAAAGAUUAUUUAAAGAAACAGUGAAUAGAAGGCUCCAGUUUGCUCUUAGUUCCUGGUCGACUUUGAUGAGGACGGCAUAAGCAGCAGGAAUGCGGUCUCGAAGGCCUGAGGCCGCAUUUCCCCUCAUUUCCGCGAGGAUCAACCCUGAGAAGUGGAAGCUCUUCACAGUCAGAGGCAUCUGGCAGGAGCAGAGGGACUCAGGCGAACCAAGAUUUCUGUUUGGAUACCGAUUAAUUCAGUCUCCCCGUCCCCAGAUUCCAGUGUCAAUACCUCCUGCCACUUUCUGAAUCCUGAGAGGAGGACUUACUUUUGGAAUCAGAAAAAAAAAAAUCACUGCUUAAAGGCUUCUCUUUUUUGAACCGUGUUUAGUUGGAUCAGUUAUAAUCUCUUAUUUCCCAU